GGCCAACACUGGAAUCCGUCCGGAACUAUGAACAAUGGCAGCUACAGCGUAGUCAGCUUCAAGGAGCAAUGCAGCAGUUUAACCAGAGAUUCAUUUAUGGGAAUCAAGAUUUAUUUGCUACAUCACAAAGUAAAGAAUUUGAUCCUCUUGGUCCAUUGCCACCUGGAUGGGAGAAGAGAACAGACAGCAAUGGCAGAGUAUAUUUCGUCAACCACAACACACGAAUUACGCAAUGGGAAGACCCCAGAAGUCAAGGUCAAUUAAAUGAAAAGCCCUUACCUGAAGGUUGGGAAAUGAGAUUCACAGUGGAUGGAAUUCCAUAUUUUGUGGACCACAAUAAAAGAACUACCACCUAUAUAGAUCCCCGCACAGGAAAAUCUGCCCUAGACAAUGGACCUCAGAUAGCCUAUGUUCGGGACUUCAAAGCAAAGGUUCAGUAUUUCCGGUUCUGGUGUCAGCAACUGGCCAUGCCACAGCACAUAAAGAUUACAGUGACAAGAAAAACAUUGUUUGAGGAUUCCUUUCAACAGAUAAUGAGCUUCAGUCCCCAAGAUCUGCGAAGACGUUUGUGGGUGAUUUUUCCAGGAGAAGAAGGUUUAGAUUAUGGAGGUGUAGCAAGGUAGUGAUAAUAUGAAUACUCAGAACUUAGUUCCUUUCCUCCAAAGAGAAUGGUUCUUUCUUUUGUCACAUGAAGUGUUGAACCCAAUGUAUUGCCUGUUUGAAUAUGCAGGGAAGGAUAACUACUGCUUGCAGAUAAACCCCGCUUCUUACAUCAAUCCAGAUCACCUGAAAUAUUUUCGUUUUAUUGGCAGAUUUAUUGCCAUGGCUCUGUUCCAUGGGAAAUUCAUAGACACAGGUUUUUCUUUACCAUUCUAUAAGCGUAUCUUGAACAAACCAGUUGGACUCAAGGAUUUAGAAUCUAUUGAUCCAGAAUUUUAUAAUUCUCUCAUCUGGGUUAAGGAAAACAAUAUUGAGGAAUGUGGUUUGGAAAUGUACUUCUCCGUUGACAAAGAAAUUCUAGGUGAAAUUAAGAGUCAUGAUCUGAAACCUAAUGGUGGCAAUAUUCUUGU
Molecule: small RNA, 1070 nt
Filed under: Pongo abelii (Sumatran orangutan)
Lineage: Eukaryota; Metazoa; Chordata; Mammalia; Primates; Hominidae
Description: processed transcript
Source: RNAcentral